GAUGAACGCUAGCGGCAGGCUUAACACAUGCAAGUCGAGGGGCAGCGUGGGGCAGCAAUGCUCUGACGGCGACCGGCGGAAGGGUGCGUAACACGUGAGCGACUUGCCCGUCACAGGGGGAUAACCGGCGGAAACGGCGACUAAUACCCCAUAUGAUGUGAUGCUGCAUGGCAUCGCAUUGAAAGAUUCAUCGGUGGCGGAUAGGCUCGCGGGACAUUAGCUAGACGGCGGGGCAACGGCCCACCGUGGCGACGAUGUCUAGGGGUUCUGAGAGGAAGACCCCCCACACUGGGACUGAGACACGGCCCAGACUCCUACGGGAGGCAGCAGUGAGGAAUAUUGGUCAAUGGGCGGAAGCCUGAACCAGCCAUGCCGCGUGAAGGACUAAGGCCCUACGGGUCGUAAACUUCUUUAGACGCAGAGCAAUAAGGUCCACGCGUGGACCGAUGAGAGUAUGCGUAGAAUAAGCAUCGGCUAACUCCG
RNAcentral lists this ribosomal RNA (483 nucleotides) under uncultured bacterium. Its description in RNAcentral is "bacterial SSU rRNA". It matches the Rfam family "Bacterial small subunit ribosomal RNA", at positions 28 to 505 of the family's 1533-position model. The record is from RNAcentral.